Long non-coding RNA from Hippocampus zosterae (dwarf seahorse), 918 nucleotides. RefSeq lists it as uncharacterized. The record is from RefSeq and is a predicted model, not a curated record. Lineage: Eukaryota; Metazoa; Chordata; Actinopteri; Syngnathiformes; Syngnathidae. The transcript is spliced from 3 exons.
CAGUGGGCAGCAAUUCAAACAAAGGCCUGCACUCACCAGUGCCUGUUCAAGUCCCCCACUUGACAGCGGAAAUCCAGGGAAGCUCCCUCAGAAGUUGGAGAUCCGCCACACGUCGAAGAAGGUGCAGAGGGAACCAAAGCUGAAGCCUCUGCACAAAAGCUGAUGACCGGGCAGGAAUCAACAGGAUCCAGGAACCCUCAUGAUGGAGUAAAUCCAUGUUUGGGAACAAAUGAAGCAUGAAAGGCCUGUGCAGCUUGUCAACUCUGUGGCCUCUGACCAGGCACGGAAUGCGGGUUUCGUGUGACGUGUUCAAGGUUUUGCCAUCUGUGACAAGCCACACCCCCUCGCCACUCUUAUUCUCACUGAGCCCCGGUGUCUUUUUCGUGGACAAGUGCCCUCUGUCCACAUUCACUGUCCUGGAAAAGAUGCUUAUAAUGUGGUUUGUUUAUUUUUGGUUCACGUAGGACACUCUCGACCUUUGCUUUUUCUUUUUUUUUGAGUUUGAGUUAAUUUUUCUCACCUUACAAGAAUACAUGCUUACCAACUUUAUUUGUUUGUUUAAAAACAUGUUACAUGUUCAAUUUCCAUGCACUUACUUAGUCAGUCUCUGUCACAACUAUCUAUCCAACCUAAUUGGACGAUUUUUUCGUUCUACAGAGACUCCUGAAAAUAUCCCGUUUGGACACAGAAGGGCACCCCUGAAUCUUAAGAAGUGAGACACAUGGAACAUUUACAGCCCGUCUUAUAUUUGAUGAUAGGGUUCUUGUCAAUGUCACUUAUAGUGUUGAACACAUCCAUCAUGGUUGAACUCAUAAAUAGUCAAAAGGUUUCCAUUUCUAAAAUUAUGAUGGUAACUGCCACUGAAGUUGUGACUGAUAACAUUGCUCCGAACACUUUAAAUGAAAAAAUGAAAAAAAA